AUCUAUGGCCAUACCACCCUGAACGCACCCUAUCUCGUCUGUUCUGGAAAGCUACUCAGGGUCGGGCCUUGUUAGUACUUGGAUGGGAGACCGCCUGGGAAUGCCGGGUGCAGUAGGUU
Molecule: ribosomal RNA, 119 nt
Organism: Cercocebus atys (sooty mangabey)
Lineage: Eukaryota; Metazoa; Chordata; Mammalia; Primates; Cercopithecidae
Source: Ensembl